GCAUUUACAACAGUUUCUCCCUUAGCAAUGUUACCUGUAAGCAUGUUAUGCAAAAGAAAACAAACAAUUAUGUUGAAGAUUUAGUGAAAAAAUCGUAAAAGUAAGUAAAGGUUAUAUCGUAAUUGGAAAUAGUGUCCAUGGUGUACCCUUUAUAAAAAUCAUUUUUUGAAAACAUUUCCUUAACUUUGAAUAAUGAAACAUAUUGAUUAUAGAAACAUGCACCAGUAACAACAUAUAGAAUAGGGGAAUGGAGCACUUAUUUCGUAACUGAAUCUUAAAAUACACCUUAAAUCAUUGGUGUUACUGUCAAUGGUGAGACCAUUUUGAUAAAAUAACACCAUUGACUAGUUUAGUAACACCACUGAAUAUAUCA
Molecule: long non-coding RNA, 373 nt
Filed under: Mytilus galloprovincialis (Mediterranean mussel)
Lineage: Eukaryota; Metazoa; Mollusca; Bivalvia; Mytilida; Mytilidae
Source: RNAcentral